Musa acuminata AAA Group (dessert banana) is the source of this 225-nucleotide long non-coding RNA. RefSeq lists it as uncharacterized. The transcript is spliced from 2 exons. The record is from RefSeq and is a predicted model, not a curated record. Lineage: Eukaryota; Viridiplantae; Streptophyta; Magnoliopsida; Zingiberales; Musaceae.
CGUUGACUCUCUGACAGUCGCGCUGACUGGAUCUCAAGAACUGUAAGUCAACUCCAUUAAUAGAGGAUGAAGGCGCAUGGCCCCAUGUGGGUCCACUGUCAUCUUCCCGUAGCUGAAUGACACAUCAUCGGCGACAACAGCUUUCUUACCUUCCUUUACCAGCGUGCUAAUAUAAAAAGGAGAAAAAGAUGGUCGAGUGCUUUCCUCCCCUUUUGUUCUCUUCAA